GACGAACCGUGCGAACGUUAUUCGGAAUCACUGGGCUUAAAGGGCGCGUAGGCGGGCUCGCAGGUCAGGGGUGAAAGCCCACGGCUCAACCGUGGAAGUGCCUUUGAUACCGUGAGUCUCGAGGGAGGUAGGGGCGUGCGGAACUUCCGGUGGAGCGGUGAAAUGCGUAGAUAUCGGAAGGAACAUCGGUGGCGAAAGCGGCGCGCUGGACCUCUUCUGACGCUGAGGUGCGAAAGCGUGGGGAGCAAACAGG
RNAcentral lists this ribosomal RNA (253 nucleotides) under uncultured bacterium. Its description in RNAcentral is "partial 16S ribosomal RNA". It matches the Rfam family "Bacterial small subunit ribosomal RNA", at positions 524 to 776 of the family's 1533-position model. The record is from RNAcentral.